This 746-nucleotide ribosomal RNA is filed under the name uncultured bacterium. RNAcentral describes it as "bacterial SSU rRNA". It matches the Rfam family "Bacterial small subunit ribosomal RNA", at positions 74 to 817 of the family's 1533-position model. The record is from RNAcentral.
AGGCUUUCGGGCUGAGUAGAGCGGCGGACGGGUGAGUAACGCGUAGGAAUCUACCUGGUAGUGGGGGACAACUUGGGGAAACUCAAGCUAAUACCGCAUACGCCCUAGGGGGGAGAGCGGGGGACCUUCGGGCCUCGCGCUAUCAGAUGAGCCUGCGUAGGAUUAGCUAGUUGGUGAGGUAAAGGCUCACCAAGGCGACGAUCCUUAGCUGGUCUGAGAGGAUGAUCAGCCACACUGGGACUGAGACACGGCCCAGACUCCUACGGGAGGCAGCAGUGGGGAAUAUUGCGCAAUGGGGGCAACCCUGACGCAGCCAUGCCGCGUGUGUGAAGAAGGCCUUCGGGUUGUAAAGCACUUUAAGUGGGGAGAAAGGCCCGUUGGUUAAUAGCCAGCGGGAUUGAUGUUACCCACAGAAUAAGCACCGGCUAACUCCGUGCCAGCAGCCGCGGUAAUACGGAGGGUGCGAGCGUUAAUCGGAAUUACUGGGCGUAAAGCGCGCGUAGGCGGUUUGUUAAGUCAGCUGUGAAAGCCCCGGGCUCAACCUGGGAACUGCAGUUGAUACUGGCCGACUGGAGUGCGAGAGAGGGAGGUAGAAUUCCAUGUGUAGCGGUGAAAUGCGUAGAUAUAUGGAGGAAUACCGGUGGCGAAGGCGGCCUCCUGGCUCGACACUGACGCUGAGGUGCGAAAGCGUGGGGAUCAAACAGGAUUAGAUACCCUGGUAGUCCACGCCGUAAACGAUGUCUACU